RNAcentral lists this transfer RNA (66 nucleotides) under Schizaphis graminum (greenbug). RNAcentral describes it as "tRNA-Phe". It matches the Rfam family "tRNA". Rfam says of the family: Transfer RNA (tRNA) molecules are approximately 80 nucleotides in length. Their secondary structure includes four short double-helical elements and three loops (D, anti-codon, and T loops). Lineage: Eukaryota; Metazoa; Arthropoda; Insecta; Hemiptera; Aphididae. The record is from RNAcentral.
AUUUAAAUAGCUUAAAAAUAGAGCAUUAUAUUGAAGAUAUAAAGGUAAAUUUAAAUUUUUUAAAUA